CCAAGUUACAAACCUUCUUGCUUUAGAGAGAGAUCUUCUAGAGUUCUAGUAGUAGCUUCUUGCUUUAGAGAGAGAGAAUCUAAUCUCUACCGGAGAAAUUUAAAUCUUUCUUCUCCGGCCAAGAUUAUGGCUCACUUGGAGUGUUUGGUCCAAGAAAACGAAGACGACACCGAAUCCUGGCCCUACGACGUUGUCUCAGGCCAGCAGGCUUCCAACUCGGAGCUCUUCUUUUCUGUUCUUGGCGGGCAUGGCCAGUUCUUGGCGAACUUGGUCAGUUCGGUAUUAUCACCAGCAAGCCCCGGACAUGGUGAGGUGGAUAAGGCUAGUGUACACCGAGUUCGACGCCUUCACCCGCCACGCCCAGUCGCAACUCACUCAUGACCACGGCGACGACUCGUUCGAUUAUGUCAACACGUCCUUGAGGAAGAGAAGCACGCCAAGACAAGGAGAAUUUGGGACUCUUCACAUCCUUGGUUAUGGUUGAACCUCAUUGUGUCGAGAUUCGACACGAACAUCCUCAAGUACGGCAUUGGUGGCUCCAUGCGCCUCUUCCCUCUUGUGUGUAACAAGUGGGAUGCUCGCACGCAUGGUGUUACCCACAAAUGAGGUCUUGUGCUGGUUUUCUUGCGGUUCACUCCGGCAUAGCUGAAAGGCCCGUCCUGUGAAAGUCUGAAUCAAGGUUUCGACUCCAAAUUGCAUCUGCCGCACUACCAAAGUACCAAUAUACCGUAAGAAUAAUGAAAGGGGCAUUUCGGGAAUCAGUGGAGUUGAUUCGUUGAGCACAAGACUCGCUUUGAUCCGAUGGCAGUCCUCGCUCCCGGACAAAAAAGUUUCCCAAAACCAUAGCUCAUUUCAGGUUUCUUCAAUGUAAUGUUUUCUCUUGUAUUUGUCUGCUGGGCCAGUGGCAUUGUUGUUAUCAAUCGAAACAUUUCGGCAUACAGCUAGCUGUUGGCAGCAAAUUAAUGUAAAGUCAUUAGUUUGAGCAAAAAGAUAUGGAUCCUUUCCUUUAUUUC
This is an RNA transcript of Fragaria vesca subsp. vesca, 1013 nucleotides long. RefSeq lists it as uncharacterized. NCBI's taxonomy places the organism in Eukaryota, Viridiplantae, Streptophyta, Magnoliopsida, Rosales, Rosaceae. The transcript is spliced from 3 exons. The record is from RefSeq and is a predicted model, not a curated record.